AUGUUAUAUUAAGUUAAUUUCCAGCAUAUAAUAUGCUUGCUCCAACCUAUCUCAAAAUUUUAAGCCUCUAACCCAAUACUAUUAUUAUUAUCUUCCCAUAACACAUACAAAAUUUAAUUCAUUAAAUCAAGAGUUUAGUUAUCUCAACUGCAUUCUAAAAUCUAUUUCAAAAUUUAUCAUGCAGAUAUCAUAAUUCAACACCCACACUCAAAUUAUCAUAGACAAACAACAUAUG
This 235-nucleotide long non-coding RNA is filed under the name Vigna radiata. Its description in RNAcentral is "long non-coding RNA (VRAD_LNC004279)". The record is from RNAcentral. Lineage: Eukaryota; Viridiplantae; Streptophyta; Magnoliopsida; Fabales; Fabaceae.